AACAAGCCCUCCAGGUGGUUCCAAUGUUUGAUUCAGAAUGUUUGAUUCUCAGGCUUGAAAACCACUGCCCUCACUGCUCCUUCACAGCCUCCCUUAUAGCCAGCACUCUGUGUGGACAGCCUUCUAGGGAAGGUGUGAGGUCCCUGCUCCUGGACAGGGGAAGGGGUUCUGAGGCGUAGGACCCUCUGGCCAGGGAGGCCUCCUGUAAGGUCACUGGAACUGACCCUGUCGCAAUAAGAGCGAAUACUCUGUCUUCUCCAAACUCAGGGUUUCUCUUGGUGGUCAGAGGAGGCUGCUUGCUGCCUGCCGGGCCUCACCUGGGGGCUCCUGAUUAAAGCCCCAGCAGGACUUGGUUCUGUGACAGGGGCUUCCUGGGGCUCAGCUUGGCUAGAAUCUGCCUGGAGAAUGAGAGGGCCUAGAAGUUGCCCAGAAGCUUCUGGACUCAAAAGGCAAAAGGGAGUAUGUUGGUGGUCACCUAUUGCACCUGCCACUCAUGGCGGAGAAACGCCCUGCCUCCAAGCACAGCUCAACUCUGACCUCCGGGCCCCGGACCGAAGCCUUUGGCGGGAGGCUGAGCCAGCAUCUGUGGAGUUCGUCCUGUCCAGGUGUCCACCAGCCUGGCACGUGGUAUUUAGCUCCUCCCCCUCCCCCUUUUUUUUAACAGAAGAAGAAACUGAAGUUAAGGGGCGUUAAGCGACUCGCUGUAGAUGACAGCCAAGGAGAUAGAAGUGGGGGGAGGUCAAGGAGGAAGCGGCAGCUCCGGGAGGCUCAAUCCCCGCGGACCCUGGGGCCUGCGGAGCGGAGCUGUCAAGGGAGGGGCACCUGGUCCCUGCUCGCGCUGCCAGGUGGGGUCGGGGAGCGGAUGGAGAAUCGCUCCGGCAGGCAGGUUCGCUAGGCUGGUGUCGGGCGGCCAGGCUGCCCUCGGCCGGCCAGACCGCGUUUCCCUGAGCGGCCACCAGGUGGCGCCGCCCGACCGCGCGGGCCCGCUCUCCGGGGCCGGCAGGUGGUGCGUCCUCUGCUCGGCUCCCGGCCGCUCCACCUCCCCGGGCCUCCGAGGACCGGGCCUCUGGGAGCUGAUGUCUCCCGCCGUGGUCCUCCGGGAAGAGGAGCAUCAGACCACGCUCUUCCUCUGUGACUCUCUGAGAGGGGACCUCUGACUUCUGUCCUCGCCGCGGUCCCCGAGGAGGAGGCUCCUCGGACCUUCCUUCCCAGGGGUGGACACUCGGGAAGGGGCACCUCGGACCCACGUCCAUGGAGCAGCCCUCUCAAGAGGGCGCUUCGGACUCUUGUCCUCACCAUGGCCCUGCGAGAGGGGGCGCCUUGGACCACUGUCCCCUAUCCUUCAGUGCCUGAAAUGUUACCACUUGAGCCUCUUGACAGGUGGUGUCCUGUCAAUAACUCCCCCUUUCGCUCGCCUUCACCCUGGGCGCUGCCUUCUCCGAUCCAUCGGCCUCACUCCGAAGGGCAGGGCUUUUCGGCAGAGGGUCUGGAGCUUGCAAGAAAGACCUAGUAGCUUCUACAAUGUGCGUAUGCCCUGUCCCACCUGGGAUCUGCUGGGAUGGAGGCUCCGAAAGUGACACCCAAAUGGCUGUGUUGUUGGGACUGUGGGUUUGCUUUCUGUUUCUAAUGCUGCUGCCUGCUGGGUGAUUCUCACCGCGUGGGGUUGAGAACCAGGGACUAAAGGGAGAAUGCCCGAACAGGCAAGCUUUGACAGGAAGGGGCUUGGGGAGGCCCUAGGGACAGAGGGGCUGGGAGUCAGAUGACCUGGCCGAGUGCCAGUCCUGGCUCUGACCCUGCCCUGCUGAGUGACCCAGACAAGUGAGGGAUUGCUUCUGGGUCUCUCUGGAGAGGAGAGGGUUGGCCCAGGCAGCCCCUCUGGUCCUGCUGACCUCCAGGGCUUGAGCAGCUCCUGCUUUGAUGGGUGGGAAGCAGAGGUGACCUGAUCCCCUACAGCACUGGCCUGUGGGCUACCGGGUGCAUUGCUCUGACCUGGGCCUCAGCUUCGGAGGGUAACUGGCAAAGGGGAAGAAGGGAAAGAAACCAAUGUUUAGUGAGCAACUAGUAUGUGCCAGGCUCUCUGCCCACAUUACACCUUUAAACCUUUCUAGCUACAUCUGCAGGGUUCAUGGUGAUACACCCCCUGGCCCUAGCAUGGUGCUGGAGCAUAGUAGGUACUCAGUAAACAUCUGUUGGGUGAACAAAUCCCUGUGAUUGGUCUAUGGAGAAGAUAAAUGUUGGUGCUUGGGUCAUAGCUUUUGCCUCUGAAUGCUUGUGCCAGACCACUGGGGUGGGCCCUGCUCAGAACUGCUGGAACCUUCCCAAACACUGCCCCCUCCCCAAUUUGUGUGGGCCAGGCCAAACCCAGGAAGAUGGUGCUGGAAGCAAAGGAUCAGAGAUGUCCACUGACUCUGAUCAAGGUCAGUGUGUCACGGGCAGAGGUAAUUUACCUGGGAUGGACGAAGCGUGAGCUCAGGGUCCCUGGCUCACCUGGGACCUCCCAUGGCCAGGAGAAGCUAUGGCAGUGCGGUCACACAGUUGUGUGUUUUUGUAUUUGUCAGCAUUGUAAUUUGUUAUUUUUUCUCAUUCCAAAUAUUCAUGUUCACACCUCGUUUUGAAUGGGUAAUUUUGUAUUUUUUUCUUAAAGAGGGCCCCUUAAGUUGAAUAGGCAUCCACAAAACCUGAUUCCCCCCUGGCCAAGGGGUGCUAAACAGAAGGAAAUGCUGUCCAGAGGGGCCGCCCCUUGAGCUGGCCUCCUGCUGACUUUCUGAUGUCCUCCCCAGGCAGAGGUCCAGCCUUGCUUCCAUCAGGCGCUGAUCCCCUCCUGCCACCUCAGCCUCUGCACACACGGUGAAUAAGCUCAGGUUGGAGUCACAACGAACAAGAUCCACGCCCUGGUUUCUGCCAGGUGCUAGGACUGCCCCUGUCCAGAGAUGCCCAGACAGAAGGUGACUGACAGAAAGGGUCAAGAGCAAGGCAGUCCGAUGCCAGCUCAGAAACUUCCCCCGGAGCACCCCUCAAUGCCGUUCUGACCGGGAAGCCGCGUUGUGGCUAAGUGGUUAAGACUUUUGCCUGUGGAGACAGGCUGCCUGGCCAGCCUCGAGUCUUGGCAGUUUCUUUACCUAUCAAGUCAACACCAAAAUAGUACCACAAAAGGGUUGCCGUGAGGAACAAACAAGAGAAUCCGUGGGAAGUGCUUUAGACCCAUGCCCAGCUUUGUAAGCUCUUAAAGAAAUCCUCGCUGAACCCAUUCCCAUGAUUAGGAGGCAAACUGGCACUUUUCAGCUUUCUCCAGCACCCCCUCGUUGCCUGUGGUUGGGGGAAGGUGGUAGAUCGCGAGGUGAGAGGCUGGGACCUGGUGUGUUCAGCAUGAGCUUGCAGGACACUCUCAGCGAGCCACUGCUGAUGCUGGGGUGGUCCGGAUCUUGUGGAUCCAGGCAGUAUGGGCAGCUGGUGGGGCACCAGGUGACAUCCCAGCAUACACGGGAUGGGAGGCGUUCUUCCCCAGCUCCCUUCUUGGUACCCUGGGGUCCCUGGUAUUCUAUGUCCUUCUUUCCCAGCCUGCGCUUGUCACUUUCUUGGCUUCUGCAACACCACGCUUGCCUGAUGCUCUCCUUCUCUCAUUGUCUUUUCUGGGCCCUCCUCACUGUCUCGUGUACUUAGGGCUUACACCCUGGACCCUUCGUUUCUCUCCUGUCUCCACUCCCUCCCUUUGGCCUCAUCCACUCUGGUAGAUAUAAGCUCCAUCUCCAGUCCUAGCUGCACCCCAGAACUCCAGACCCACAACUGCUUCCCUAGCCCCUCAACUUGACAUGUCCAGGCUGGAGCUCUAAUCUCACCCUCUGGUCCUGCUCCGCCCCCUGCAGGGAGUGCAGCCCAGCCUUCCAGUUGUUCAGGCCAGAAGCCUGGGAUUGACUUGAGCUGUCUUGACUCGGUUUUCUUCUGUCUCCCACUCUGACCUGAGAGGCACAUGUACAGCUUUUCAGAAGCCCCCCAGUUUUGAGUGUACCUCCCAGAGAUUCUGAUGUGACUGUUUGCUGGUGGGGCCUGGCAUUUGUUUAUUUUAGAAGCUCCCAGGUGACUCAGGUUGCUUAUUCAUUCAUUCACUCAUUCACAAGCCUUUGUUCUGUGACCACUGUGUGCCAGGCACUAGAAGUCUAGCCCUUAAGGCGAGCACUUCUGAAGUAUAGGCACAUAGUGGGUACUCGUGUUUGCUGGGUGAAGGUGCAUCCGAUGGAGGUGGUGACCCUGACCCCUCUCCCCCUAACAGAGAACCAAUAAGAUGGCUGGGUGACAGAGGGGCUGUGCAAGUCCUCAGACUCCCCACCCACCAUAGCCCCUGUGUCCUCCCCCCACCCAGCUCCCUGGAAGCCAGGCGCACACCGCCAUGGCUGGCAGGGGGCUGUUCAGGGUCUGGCGGCCUGGGAAGCUCGGUUGUUGCCAUGGUGAUGAUGUGCGUCUGUUCAGCAGAGAACUUUGAAGUUGACUUGGAUGGGGGACAACAAAGGCGCCUCCAUCUUGGAUGCAAAUUGUGGCUUCCUUUCAUCCUCCUGGGCCCUUUCCUGCUCUGCUUUUGUUCUUGCCAUUUAGAUCAGAGAAUAAAACCCUUUCAAAUGUUGUAAAUUCAAAACAUAGGCAAUUAAGGGGCCUCUCAGAGGUUCAAGGCCCCCUUAGUCUCUUUAAGAAGCAGUUGCAUGUGUAGAAAAACAGAGAUGAUUGUGAAAAGGGAGUCAGCAUCUCCUGGAUGUUACAAUCCAACCAACAUCUACUGAGCGCCUACUGUGUGCCAGGACCCGGGAGGCACUGGGGAUCCGGUGUGGUACAGGACCCACCAAAUCUCUGUUCCUCAGAGCUUACUUUCAGGACCAUGGCUCCGUGCCUCAGUUUCCCCAGUGUACAACAAGGAGGCUGAAGUAGCCCAGGGGUUUUCAUAUGGUGUUUUCUGAAACCCAGGCGAAGGUCCCAGUCGCUUCCCCCCGUUUUGGCCUGAAGAGCUUUGCUUUGCUCUGUUUUAUGUACUCUGUUCCCUAUAAUAUUGUUUUUGAGGAAAGAAGUCCAAAACAAAAAAAAACCCCAAAAAACAAAGGAUGGGAUGGAAAUGAAAACCACUGGUCAAGGAUUCCCUAAGGCUUUUUCCAGAAGGAAUGUUCUCUCAUGUUCACCACUAAGGAAAGUGCAGAUUCCCCGGGCUGUUUGGCCACAUAGAGACUCACACACAGAAGGCAAGCUGCCUUUAGGAUGUACACCCACCUGGAUGGCUGACAUCCUGCCUUCAUUUUAAAUAAAGUAAGAAGCCUCAGACAGGGUUGGAAAGAGCAAAUCCUGUUACGUUUCUCACCCAGUAGACCCAGGGCUUCACUUCUAAGGCAUCUGUCCUUCUCAGACUCUGGACCCGCCCUCGCCCCUUCCUCAGGGAGCUUUGCCUGGCCGGCAGCCUGCAGGGCCCACGCCCUCCUCCGAGCUCCCCUGGCCCACCCUGGCCUCCACACACCCACCAGCGAGGACCUGGGGCCUGUCUUGUCUCCCCAGCGGGACCACGUGUUCUCACAGCGCGAUGUGUCCUGAAGAAAUGUAAUUCGAUGAGCAACUGGGCGCCCCGCUGGUACUGCUUGUUCUCUGGGCCCUGCCCCUCACCCUGUACCUUGCCUGGGUUGUCUCCUGAAGUGCAGGAGAGCCUGGUGGGCAGUGCGCAGAGCCACCUGCCUUCCCUCCCUCAGCAGCACCCUCCCCUCCUCCUUCCCAACAGGUGACUGAGAGACACCAGGCCUGAUUACAGCGGCGACAUGAGUCUUUCCCAAAAGCCAUUUAUACUGUCUGGGUGGGGAACCGGGAAGUAGGUCGGGGACCAUGUUUUAUUGACUAUCUCUUGUCUUGAGGAGCCACAGGAAAGCUUUAUUAACACAACCAGACAAUCUCAUUUAGGGCCAUUGCACGGCCUGGGCCCACUCGAGGUUCAAGCCGGUAUUUUACCCCGGGCUGAGUCUUCUCGUAUUGAUUUCUUUAGAAGGCAUGUUACCUUUCUCCCUGAAGGCCAAGCUGAUGCAAAGAGCAAAGAGAGAUUCUGGACUGGAGAACCACUUCUAUCAAAAAACCCUGAGCUUGGCGAAGUCGCCCCCCCUGUGUGGGGCUGUUGAAAUUGUGCUCUGUGCUUGAUCAUCGUGGGAUCCAUCCAGAGAUCAGAGGCUCCCAGGGGGCUGAGGCCGUGUCUCCCACUUCGCUCUGCACGGUUCCAGGCGCACAGUGGGCCUGCAGUAGAGACAGGAGUAGGGACUGUCUGCUGCCGGGCAUGUAGGACAGCAGCCUCUUGGCGUCAACAGCUUUGGGGAACCCCUUCCUUCUGGUGAUGUGGAGGUUAGUGUCUCCAGCAUCCCAGGGCUGCCACCCAGCCCCUCCCUCACCCUCUGGGGAACGUGAGCUGUGGGGAGCAGAGGGGAUGGAGCAUGUCAAGAUCUGCCACAGGCUGGUGAGUGGGGCACACAGUUUACAACCCACCUUCUCAUCCGGCUGCCACAGCCCAGGGAUAAGCCCCGGAAGUGGGAACUGCUACUGACACAUUUGGAGGAAAUGGCAUCUUUGCUUGUGAAUCUCAAUACAAGUGGUUUUCAUCCAGGGACACUUGGCCCCUGAGAAAUCCUCCAGCCACCAGCGAGAGGGAAGGUUUCCGUGGAGCACACACCCACACGGCCUUUUCACACAGCGUUUCCCUGAGGCUUUCGUAACUCCCCCACUCUAGAGGGGAGUGGUCCUCAUUCUCCAGAAGAGGGAGGAAGCCCUGCAGAAGGUGAUGACUGCCCACAGAUGGGCUUCCAGAAGGCGGACGGCCCGGGCGGGGCCCUAAGCAAGGCAGAUGGCGCCUGCCCCCCUAGGUGGUGGACAUCAGUCUCCCUGGCCUUCAGGGUGGCCCUCUGCCCGAGGAUCCUGUGGCAUGGCUUCCCUUGGCAGUGACUCCACGUCACUCAGGCCUGAGGCCUAACAGUUCCCCCUUCCCACUCCCCAUUCCAGUCCUCCUCGAGCCUGGGACUUUGUUCUGAGCCCUCUUCCUCCCUCCUUGCCUCCGACAAGCCCACACUGCCGCAUGUGCCCCGACAGGCGCAUUAACUUCCCAUCCCCCACUUGGGGCCUCCCACUCACCCCAGAAUACCGUAGCCAUGUGGACUUGGAUAUGGGAUUUCACCCCAUACCUGUGGUAUAUUGAUGAGCGCCCCGCCCCCACUGCACCUACCUCCCUGAGGGCAGGACAACUGGUUUGCUCAGCACUAUGUCCUCAGAGCCUAGCACAAGGCUAGGCACAUAGUGGGUGCUCAGUAAAAAUGAAUGAAUGAACAUCAGACAACACAAGAGCGGCCUUAAAUGUGUGGCCAGACUUCAGGCCACAGGAAGGCCUCCCAGAGGAGGCCACACCCCUGGUGUUAGGCUGGAAGGCUGAGCCAGGGUCUGGACCUGGGAGGACCCACUGCUCACCAAAGGAAGGACCCAGGGAUGUGAGACGGGAAGAGUCAGAACAGCCCUUGCCGGGUACCAGACUCUCUGCUAAGUUCCUUACAGCCUUUAUUCAUCGCAAACCAUCCACAGAAGGUGCUAUUACUAUCCCCAUUUUACUGGUGAGUAAACCAAGGGGCUGAGAGGCGAAGGGACUUGCCUGAGGUCAUAGAGGCAGUAAGUGGCAGAGCCAGAAAGUGAUCCAGGUCAGACAGUUUGUCUCCAGAGCUUCGCUCUAACUUGGCCAUGCAUCCAUCACAUGUAGGGCUCUUUCUUUGGGGGACCAUUGGCUUUGGCUGCAGGUCACACCGUGAAGGGGCUGAAGACCUGUUUCCUGAUGGUGGACCAUGAAUGUGCCUGUUAUUGCCAUGUCGUUAUUGUCUCCUUUCAGAAAUCAGGAAAAACACUCUUGCUGGCCACAAUUACAUGCGCCUUUGGGCCCUUGCCCAUCAGCUGUGUCCUGGGGACUGUCAGCCCCAUGUGGGCAGGGCCCUGGCCUGCCCCAUGCACUCUGCUACCCCCAGCAACACAAAGCUCCAUUCCGAAUACCGCAAAGACCAGUGGGGAUUGACAGCGAGUGAGGGGGUCAGUGGAUGGACACUCAGUAAGAGGAGAUAUCAAGAGUAGGGGAAUUCUUGCUAAACCCCCUUAACAGGAUCCUUGCUGAAGGCAGACCAGUGAUCAGAUGUCAAGAGUGAGGGGUGAGGAAUUUGAUCAGAUAUCGAGGGGGAUCAGGUAUGGAGGGUGGGGGACCCUUACUAAACUGACCUGGAAGCUUCUUGCUACAGUAGCUGAACUACAGAGGCUGAAGACAGGCCUGAGAGCGAGGCCUCAAUGGAAAGAGGGCUCAGAGGCGGCCGUCUGAAGUCGGGCCAACGGGAGUCUGCACUGCCCAUCGGGCUGAGGGGCUGCUCUAAACAACCUUAUCCGCUUUCUUCCAUUUCCUCAAAGGUUUUCUUCCUUUAGUCUCUCCUAGAGAAUCUUCUCGAGAAAGAUUGGCAGCUGCUUAAUUGGAGCAGAGUUCAAUGGACAGAAAACAAAAACACAGAUUUCUCCCUGAGGAAAACAACAAGACUUUGGAUUUUUGAAAGGAACUGAAGUUAUUUCCUAGGGAGUCGAGAACCUUCAAGGCUAUGCUGACCAAGGCGCUGAGACCAUGGACAGCUGGCCAGGACACGCCCACGCUGGGACCCCCCCCCCGCCCCCCCCACCGCUGUGAGGCUCCCAGCACCUUUCUGGACUUUGUGCCAUUUGAGACAGGAGGGUGGGAGCUGUCAUCAGUCACGAGCUCAGAGGACGAGGGGAGGCGACCAUGGUUUUAUAGCAGAUGGGUGAGAGAGAGGACUCCAGCCAGUGCCCUCCUCCCUCGACCCUCCCAACCACUGUGUUCUGCAGAGAACAGCCGGGAAAGGCGGGCAAACGGGCUUUUGAAAUGGGCUCUGCCUGCAGUGCAAAAUGUCCUGCUCUCUGGCCCCACUCUGAGGGAUUUCCUGAAGGUGGUACUUACGCAGGUGUGAAGAGGUGGGUCAUAGGGAUGGCUCACCGCGGCCUGAUUGAUCAUGGACCAACAACGCAGAUGUCCAUCAAAAGGGAGCAAUGAGGUCAACAAUUGUGCGAUCAGACACUGGACUCCCUCGAACACUGAAAGUGAAACUUUCCACAAUCAACGUAUGUUACUUUUGUAGUAAGGCAAAAGCACAAUAAAAAGAAUUAUUGGAAUGGUUUGCCACAAAAGGACAUUAUUAUCAAAAUUAAACUCACUGGGCAAUAAUUAUGCAAAGCCUUGUGCUAAGCUCGGGGUCGGGGGAGAUGGGGUCAUGACAUUUGAUGACAGUCAGUCUUGUCCUCUGGGGGUUCACAGAGAGAGCCGGCAGGGCGGGGCGCUGACAGACAACUGACUGUGUCAGGCCACAGGAGCCCUGGAGGGGCAGUG
Long non-coding RNA from Equus caballus (horse), 9409 nucleotides. NCBI's taxonomy places the organism in Eukaryota, Metazoa, Chordata, Mammalia, Perissodactyla, Equidae. The record is from Ensembl.